GGGGAUGUGCUGAAAUUGGUAUACAGGAUGGUCUCAAAAACCAUUGGGCCUAAAAGUCCGUGAGGGUUCAAAUCCCUCCAUCCCCA
RNAcentral lists this transfer RNA (86 nucleotides) under bacterium. RNAcentral's name for it is "tRNA-Leu". It matches the Rfam family "tRNA". From Rfam's summary of the family: Transfer RNA (tRNA) molecules are approximately 80 nucleotides in length. Their secondary structure includes four short double-helical elements and three loops (D, anti-codon, and T loops). The record is from RNAcentral. RNAcentral also lists the same sequence under 1 other name.